Molecule: ribosomal RNA, 497 nt
Filed under: uncultured bacterium
Lineage: Bacteria
Description: partial 16S ribosomal RNA
Rfam family: Bacterial small subunit ribosomal RNA
Source: RNAcentral
GAUGAACGCUGGCGGCGUGCCUAAUACAUGCAAGUCGAGCGAACGGACGAGAAGCUUGCUUCUCUGAUGUUAGCGGCGGACGGGUGAGUAACACGUGGAUAACCUACCUAUAAGACUGGGAUAACUUCGGGAAACCGUAGCUAAUACCGGAUAAUAUUUUGAACCGCACGGUUCAAAAGUGAAAGACGGUCUUGCUGUCACUUAUAGAUGGAUCCGCGCUGCAUUAGCUAGUUGGUAAGGUAACGGCUUACCAAGGCAACGAUGCAUAGCCGACCUGAGAGGGUGAUCGGCCACACUGGAACUGAGACACGGUCCAGACUCCUACGGGAGGCAGCAGUAGGGAAUCUUCCGCAAUGGGCGAAAGCCUGACGGAGCAACGCCGCGUGAGUGAUGAAGGUCUUCGGAUCGUAAAACUCUGUUAUUAGGGAAGAACAUAUGUGUAAGUAAAUGUGCACAUCUUGACGGUACCUAAUCAGAAAGCCACGGCUAACUACGUG